CGGCUGGGAGGUCCCCUCUCUCCUUUUAGCGUCUCCCGGUGUCCCCUCCACCCCAUCGCUUUUCCAGCCUGCAGAAGACAGCUUGGACUAGACUGAACCGCCUCUGUCAGCCGUAGUCAGCUAGGCUGCCAGCCACAGGGGACGCUUGGGGACCGGACCAGGGGAACUUGCAGUGCAGGUGCCUGAAGUCCGAAGUGUAGGAUCCCCUGGAGCUGGAGUUACUGGAGGCUGUGACCCAAAUGAAGUGGGUCCUGGAAAUCAAACUCCAAUCCUCUGCACCAGAAGCAAGCACUCAACCGCUGAGCCAUCUCUCCAGCCUCUUACCUUUCUGUAUUUAUCAUGUGCAUGGAGGUCAGAGGACAACUUGCCGGAGUUGGCUUGUCCUUACAUCAUGUACAACUGGAGCCAAAACUCAUGGUUUGGUGUCAAUCCCUUCACCUAGUGAAGCCAGCUCCCCAGCCCCAAAAGUCAGCUUUCUGCUUUAUGGGACUUUGUUUGGAAGACAUGAGAAUCCAGCUGGAGGAAAGAUGGUCUUUGAUGUUUAUUGUCAGCUGCAUCUAGAUUCACCGAAGACACAACCUCUGAGCUUGGCUGUGGGAGUUACAUUGGUUAGGCUGAGGUAGGAAGGACCGCCCUAAGUGUGGGCUGCACCUUUCCAGGUCUGCGGGACAGCCUUGAAUAAAACAGAGUGUGAGCUUAGUGCCAGCACCCUUGUCUCU
Long non-coding RNA from Myodes glareolus (Bank vole), 719 nucleotides. RefSeq lists it as uncharacterized. The record is from RefSeq and is a predicted model, not a curated record. NCBI's taxonomy places the organism in Eukaryota, Metazoa, Chordata, Mammalia, Rodentia, Cricetidae.